UACGUAGGGUGCAAGCGUUAAUCGGAAUUACUGGGCGUAAAGCGUGCGCAGGCGGUUGUGCAAGACAGAUGGGAAAUCCCCGGGCUUAACCUGGGAACUGCAUUUGUGACUGCACAGCUGGAGUGCGGCAGAGGGGGAUGGAAUUCCGCGUGUAGCAGUGAAAUGCGUAGAUAUCGGGAGGAAUACCGAUGGCGAAGGCAGGUCUCUGGGCUAUAACUGACGCUCAUGCACGAAAGCGUGGGGAGCAAACAGG
RNAcentral lists this ribosomal RNA (253 nucleotides) under uncultured bacterium. RNAcentral describes it as "partial 16S ribosomal RNA". It matches the Rfam family "Bacterial small subunit ribosomal RNA", at positions 524 to 776 of the family's 1533-position model. The record is from RNAcentral.